UUUUUUCCAGCAGUAUUCUCCCCCCAGCAUGGGUGAUCCCCAUUUGGAAGUUUCGGUCGUGGGUGGUUUGAGACCCCCGUACCCUAUCACUCUCCCCAGUGCAAUCGCCAGUGGAGUUGUGGUCUUUCUCCUCAGUAUGGAUGCUUUUCCUUUGAAGAUUCAAUAGUUGGCGGAUUGAUAUCCUGGUACUUUACCACUUUCCCCAGUAUUGUCGUAAGCAGAGUUGUUG
This 229-nucleotide long non-coding RNA is filed under the name Lathyrus oleraceus (garden pea). Its description in RNAcentral is "Pisum sativum (pea) long non-coding RNA (PSAT_LNC030681)". The record is from RNAcentral. Lineage: Eukaryota; Viridiplantae; Streptophyta; Magnoliopsida; Fabales; Fabaceae.